This 480-nucleotide ribosomal RNA is filed under the name uncultured bacterium. RNAcentral's name for it is "bacterial SSU rRNA". It matches the Rfam family "Bacterial small subunit ribosomal RNA", at positions 40 to 507 of the family's 1533-position model. The record is from RNAcentral.
CGAUAGGCUUAACACAUGCAAGUCGAGGGGCAGCAUGGUCUUAGCUUGCUAAGACUGAUGGCGACCGGCGCACGGGUGCGUAACGCGUAUGCAACUUGCCUCACAGAGGGGGAUAACCCGUCGAAAGACGGACUAAUACCGCGUACACUCCAGCUUGGGGGCAUCCAAGCUAGAGGAAAUGAAAUUCGCUGUGAGAUAGGCAUGCGUCCCAUUAGCUAGUUGGUGAGGUAACAGCUCACCAAGGCGACGAUGGGUAGGGGAACUGAGAGGUUGAACCCCCACACUGGUACUGAGACACGGACCAGACUCCUACGGGAGGCAGCAGUGAGGAAUAUUGGUCAAUGGGCGAGAGCCUGAACCAGCCAAGUCGCGUGAAGGAUGACUGUCUUAUGGAUUGUAAACUUCUUUUAUACGGGAAUAACAAGAGUCACGUGUGGCUCCCUGCAUGUACCGUAUGAAUAAGCAUCGGCUAACUCCGUG